This is a long non-coding RNA of Oncorhynchus tshawytscha (Chinook salmon), 4113 nucleotides long. Lineage: Eukaryota; Metazoa; Chordata; Actinopteri; Salmoniformes; Salmonidae. The record is from Ensembl.
UUUUGGAAUUGUUAGUUAGAUUACUUGUUGGUUAUUACUGCAUUGUCGGAACUAGAAGCACAAGCAUUUCGCUACACUCGCAUUAACAUCUGCUAACCAUGUGUAUGUGACAAAUAAAAUUUGAUUUGAUUUGAUUUGAUGGUUGAGAUAUCCCUCUAGUGGUUUGGGGGUUUGGGGGCAAAGUGGGUGGGGUUAUAUCCUGCCUGUUUGGCCCUGCCCGGGGGUAUCGUCGGACGGGGCCACAGUGUCUCCUGACCCAUCCUGUCUCAGCCUCCAGUAUUUAUGCUGCAAUUGUUUAUGUGUCGGGGGGCUAGGGUCAGUCUGUUAUAUCUGGAGUAUUUAUCUUGUCUUAUCCGGUAUCCUGUGUGAAUUUAAGUAUGCUCUCUCUAAUUCUCUCUCUCUCUUUCUCUCUCUCUCUCUCUCUCUCUCUCUCUCUUUCUUUCUUUCUUUCUUUCUUUCUUUCUCUCUCUCUCUCUCUCUCUCUCAGAGGACCUGAGCCCUAGGACCGUGCCUCAGGACUACCUGGCCUGAUGACUCCUUGCUGUCCCCAGUCCACCUGGUCGUGCUGCUGCUCCAGUUUCAACUAUUCUGCCUGCGGCUAUGGAACCCUGACCUGUUCACCGGACGUGCUACCCUUCCCAGACCUGCUGUUUUCAACUCCCUAGAGACAGCAGGAGCGGUAGAGACUCUCUGAAUGAUAUGCUAUGAAGAGCCAACUGACAUUUACUCCUGAGGUGCUGACCUGUUGCACCCUCUACAACCACUGUGAUUAUUAUUGUUUGACCCUGCCGGUCAUCUGUGAACAUCUUGGUCAUGUUCUGUUAUAAUCUCCACCUGGCACAGCCAGAAGAGGACCGGCCACCCCUUAUAGCCUGGUUCCUCUCUAUAGGUUUCUUCCUAGGUUCUGGCCUUUCUAGGGAGUUUUUCCUAGCCACUGUGCUUCUACACCUGCAUUGCUUGAGUUUGGGGUUUUAGGCUAGGUUUCUGUACAGCACUUUGUGACAUCAGCUGAUGUACGAAGGGCUUUAUAAAUACAUUUGAUUGAUUGAUUAAUCUUACCCAUUAGGAUUAACACUGCAGUUUUGGAGAGCUAACAGCAGUUUUGGAGAACUAACACAGCAGGUUUGGAGAGCUUACCCAUCGGUUUAGGAUAAUUUACCCUGCAGGUUAGGGGAGCUUACACAGCAGGUUAUGAGAGCUGAUCUGAUCUAAUCUGAUGUUUAGGAGAGCUAACACUGCAGAUAGGGUUAAUUAACACAGCAGGUUAGGAGAACGUACUCAGCAGUGUGGGAGAAUCAACCCUGCAGUUUACAAGAAUUUACACAGCAGGUUAGGAGAACAAACAAAGCAGGUCAGGAGGACUUACCCAGCUUAACCCAGCAGGAGAAUUAACACAGCAGGUUAGGAGAACUUACGCAGCAGGUUAGGAGAAUUAACACAGCAUGUUAGGAUAAUUUUUACUUUAACUUUACCUACAUGUACAUAUUACCUCAAUUUCCUAAACUAACCGGCGCCCCUGCGCAUUGACUCUCUAGCGGGUUCCCCUGUAUAUAACCUCGCUACUGUUAUUCUACUGCUGCUCUUUUAACUUUUUACUCAUCUAUUUUUUACUUAACACUUUUUCUUAAAACUGCAUUUUUGGUUAAGAGCUUGUAUGUAAACAUUUCACUGUAAGGUGAACAACACCUGUUGUCUUCUGCGCAUGUGACAAAUACAAUUUUAUUUUAAUUUAAUUGAAUUAGGUUCAUGUUAGGAAAAGGGUUAGGGUUAGCUAAAAUUCACAAAACAAAUCUACUUUUGACGUUAAUUUGACAAAAGCAGGAUCCCUUCUAGCCUUGACCUGAUUUCCCGGAUGGAUGUCAAUUUACAGUUUCAAAAACGUGUUGGGGUGAUUCUCCGUCAACUUACUGGAAUGGACCAGCCAGCAACUGGCAUUCUUACCUUAGAAUGAGACCACCUGAAAAUGUCAAUUAGAAAUGUCUGCCAAAUGGAACAGGUGAGAGAGGAUGCAUUGUGCUGGACAGGUACUGUAGGCCUGUAAAUAUUUUGUAUCUUACCUUGGUCAACUGUUUUGUCAAUUUCAUUCUGCCGUGAGUCCUUUGAUGGGACUACAGAGCCAGUGUCAAUGCUUUUCCAGGAAUGCUAUCAUGGUCAAGAUAAUUAACUUCAACCAGAGAUGGGUCAACCUUGUUUCUUCUGAUGUGAUCUUCCUGUCUGGGUUGCUCCCCCCCCCCCCUUGGGUUGUGCUGUGGCAGAGAUAUUUGUGGGCUAUACUCGGCCUUGUCUCAGGACGGCAAGUUGGUGGUUGAAGGACCUGAGCCCUAGGACCAUGCCUCAGGACUAUCUGGCAUGAUGACUCCUUGCUGUCCCCAGUCCACCUGGCCAUGCUGCUGCUCCAGUUUCAACUGUUCUGCCUGCGGCUAUGGAAUCCUGACCUGUUCACCGGACAUGCUACCUGUCCCAGACCUGCUGUUGUCAACUCUCUAGAGACAGCAGGAUUGGUAGAGAUAAUCUUAAUGAUCGGCUAUGAAAAGCCAACUGACAUUUAGUCCUGAGGUGCUGACUUGCUGCACCCUCGACAACUACUGUGAUUAUUAUUAUUUGAUUAUUAUUAUUUCAUAGCCUGGUUCCUCUCUAGGUUUCUUCCUAGGUUUUGGCCUUUCUAGGGAGUUUUUCCUAGCCACCGUUCUUCAACACCUGCAUUGCUUGCUGUUUGCGGUUUUAGGCUGAGUUUCUGUACAGCACUUUGAGAUAUCAGCUGAUGUACGAAGGGCUAUAUAAAUACAUUUGAUUUGAUUAUACAUCGUGUGGUUCGAGCCCUGAAUGCUGAUUGGCUGACAGCCGUGGUAUAUCAGACCUUAUACCACGGGGAAUGACAAAACAUUUAUUUUUACUGCUCUAAUUACAUUUCUAACCAAUUUAUAAUAGCUAUAAGGCACCUCGGGAUUUGUGGUAUAUGGCCAAUAUACCACAGUUAAGGGCUGUGUCCAGGCACUCCACGAUGCGUCGCGCCUAAGAACAGCCGUUAGCCGUGGUAUAUUGGCAAUAUACCACACCCCUCGUGAUUUAUUGCUUGAGUGCGAAAUUCUCAAGAUAUCAGCAACAUGCUAACUGUGGAAGCCAUCAGCUAUUACAUUGUUUUUAAUGUGCGUCACAUCUCACGCUGAGGAUUGUGGGGUAAAAUGAAUGAUGGCUAUGGCAGUUUCUGUGGGGGAGCAGUGCAGAUGUAGAAAGUGUGCAGAUCAUUACAGAUGGCAUGAGGGAGGGCUUCAUUAAAACCCAGGCCCCUUUGUUCAUGUUCUUUAUUUAUGGCACUCUUAUCACUCUGGUCCAUGCUAAAUAUAAUUUGAUUACAACGUCAUGCUGUCAUUUUGGUCCACAUUUUUGCAGAAACUGGGAUUGACUAUUGAUAGUUAUCUCUCAAAAUCUGCAAAAUUGCAAAAUCAUUAUGAAGUACUGCUCAGUGAAUUUUUCAGUGAAAGAAAAGGCUAAAUUAAAAAUAUAUGCUUUAGUGAUCUGCCCACAUAGUUUCAACGUUGAUCCAAACGGCAGGGGGUUUCCUCCUUGUGUGUAAAGGUCAUCUGCUGUGUUUUCUAAUUUGCUGACACUAGUCUGGGGACUUUAAAGAGGGAGAUUUCUUUGUGACCAACUUACCACGGAGGGUAAUAAUAGCCGUAUCUCGACCUGGGAAAUCUUCAACGCCCCAAUGCCCCCAUCAACUGCGUGAACCCAUUACUGGCGGAUGUGUCUCAUUUCAAAUAUUAUUCCAUUUCCCCCUCUUCUGUCUGCCCAUAAAGAACUCCCAUGUCUCCUGAAUAGCUUAUAAUAACAUGUUUUAAGAAGCCCACCCUUAGUGCCCCAAAGGAUCCAGCAUUGCAAUGCAGCAGUCUGCUAUAUAAUAUCCAUGCUUUUCUGUGUGUAAUUAAAGGUCAGUUUGGGUUAUAGCCCUGUGUUGCCUUGAAUGACAAAUCUCCCAUGCUUUCUCUCUCUUCCCGAAACGUGAUGGCUUUGCCAAAUGUGAUUAAAUCUAUUUUUGCGCCAUCUGUUUUCUUGGCACUAAAAUGCAUUAGUUGAAAGUGUACCUCUUACCAGCACACUAAAAUGUCUCAUCAG